Molecule: ribosomal RNA, 496 nt
Filed under: uncultured bacterium
Lineage: Bacteria
Description: partial 16S ribosomal RNA
Rfam family: Bacterial small subunit ribosomal RNA
Source: RNAcentral
GAUGAACGCUAGCGGCAGGCUUAACACAUGCAAGUCGAGGGGUAUUAGGAGCUUGCUCCUAAGCGACCGGCGCACGGGUGCGUAACGCGUAUGCAACCUACCUUGAACAGGGGGAUAGCCCAGAGAAAUUUGGAUUAAUACCCCAUGGUAUAUUAGAAUGGCAUCAUUUUAUUAUUAAAGUCACAAAGGUUCAAGAUGGGCAUGCGUCCCAUGAGCUAGAUGGUAAGGUAACGGCUUACCAUGGGUACGAUGGGUAGGGGUCCUGAGAGGGAGAUCCCCCACACUGGUACUGAGACACGGACCAGACUCCUACGGGAGGCAGCAGUGAGGAAUAUUGGUCAAUGGGCGCAAGCCUGAACCAGCCAUGCCGCGUGCAGGAUGAAGCAUCUAUGGUGUGUAAACUGCUUUUAUACGGGAAGAAACCCUGCCACGUGUGGCAGAUUGACGGUACCGUAGGAAUAAGGAUCGGCUAACUCCGUGCCAGCAGCCGCCGUAA